RNAcentral lists this ribosomal RNA (464 nucleotides) under Bacillus sp. NagJYBKR. RNAcentral's name for it is "bacterial SSU rRNA". It matches the Rfam family "Bacterial small subunit ribosomal RNA", at positions 39 to 489 of the family's 1533-position model. The record is from RNAcentral. Lineage: Bacteria; Bacillati; Bacillota; Bacilli; Caryophanales; Bacillaceae.
AAAAUGGCGUGCUUUAACACAUGCAAGUCGAGCGAACUGAUUAGAAGCUUGCUUCUAUGACGUUAGCGGCGGACGGGUGAGUAACACGUGGGCAACCUGCCUGUAAGACUGGGAUAACUCCGGGAAACCGGAGCUAAUACCGGAUAACAUUUUUUCUUGCAUAAGAGAAAAUUGAAAGAUGGUUUCGGCUAUCACUUACAGAUGGGCCCGCGGUGCAUUAGCUAGUUGGUGAGGUAACGGCUCACCAAGGCAACGAUGCAUAGCCGACCUGAGAGGGUGAUCGGCCACACUGGGACUGAGACACGGCCCAGACUCCUACGGGAGGCAGCAGUAGGGAAUCUUCCGCAAUGGACGAAAGUCUGACGGAGCAACGCCGCGUGAGUGAUGAAGGCUUUCGGGUCGUAAAACUCUGUUGUUAGGGAAGAACAAGUACAAGAGUAACUGCUGACUGAUCGGACCAUCAG